This is a non-coding RNA of Betta splendens (Siamese fighting fish), 74 nucleotides long. The record is from the annotation of a RefSeq genome assembly. Lineage: Eukaryota; Metazoa; Chordata; Actinopteri; Anabantiformes; Osphronemidae.
GUUUCUGUAGUUGUAGCGGUUAUCACGUUUGCUUCACACGCAAAAGCUCCCUGGUUCAAUGCCAGGCAGAAACA